UACAGAGGUCUCAAGCGUUGUUCGGAUUCAUUGGGCGUAAAGGGCGCGUAGGCGGCGGGGUAAGUCUGGUGUGAAAUCUAGGAGCUCAACUCCUAAACUGCACUGGAUACUGCUCUGCUAGAGGACUGGAGAGGAGACUGGAAUUCACGGUGUAGCAGUGAAAUGCGUAGAUAUCGUGAGGAAGACCAGUGGCGAAGGCGAGUCUCUGGACAGUUCCUGACGCUGAGGCACGAAGGCCAGGGGAGCAAACGGG
RNAcentral lists this ribosomal RNA (253 nucleotides) under uncultured bacterium. RNAcentral's name for it is "partial 16S ribosomal RNA". It matches the Rfam family "Bacterial small subunit ribosomal RNA", at positions 524 to 776 of the family's 1533-position model. The record is from RNAcentral.